Molecule: long non-coding RNA, 456 nt
Organism: Ornithodoros turicata
Lineage: Eukaryota; Metazoa; Arthropoda; Arachnida; Ixodida; Argasidae
Exons: 3
Source: RefSeq, a predicted model, not a curated record
GUCGUAUUUACGUACCUCACUUACACUCGGAGUUCUUUUCAUGUUGCCGCGUGUCGUUUGAAUGGUUCAGCCGCGGGACAUCGUUUGAAGUGUCUCUGUGGGGCGGCCCGUCAUGUCUGUCUUGCGCUCGUGUUACCUUCUGACGGUCGUCGCGACUGUGGCGUCAGCGGCAGUGUUUGUGCAGAAGGUCCCUGUUGAAAACGGUAUGUGUCUCACGAAGAAGGGAGCGAAAAGACACGGAGAAGUCUUCUACGAUAUCGAAAGUUGUCGGAAACACGAAUGCAAUGCCCGCCGAAGCGCCGUAGAUAUUUACGCGUGUUCUCCAGCGGCAUUCGAGGUGGUCGGCAGGACAUGCACCAUUGUUGGGUUCCAAAGAGGCUUCUAUCCGGAAUGCUGCAAGGCAAGAGUGAUGUGCGAAGGACAGAAAGCAAAGUCAAUAAAAUGUGGCUGAUGAGC